This 251-nucleotide ribosomal RNA is filed under the name uncultured prokaryote. Its description in RNAcentral is "partial 16S rRNA". It matches the Rfam family "Bacterial small subunit ribosomal RNA", at positions 525 to 775 of the family's 1533-position model. The record is from RNAcentral.
ACGUAGGGAGCGAGCGUUAUCCGGAUUCAUUGGGCGUAAAGCGCGCGUAGGCGGCCCGUUAAGUCAGGUGUCAAAUCCGGAGGCUCAACCUCCGUCCGCACCUGAAACUGGCGGGCUCGAGUUCGGUAGAGGAAGAUGGAAUUCCCAGUGUAGCGGUGAAAUGCGCAGAUAUUGGGAGGAACACCAAUGGCGAAGGCAGUCUUCUGGGCCGUUAACUGACGCUGAGGCGCGAAAGCUGGGGGAGCGAACAG